This 253-nucleotide ribosomal RNA is filed under the name uncultured bacterium. RNAcentral's name for it is "partial 16S ribosomal RNA". It matches the Rfam family "Bacterial small subunit ribosomal RNA", at positions 524 to 776 of the family's 1533-position model. The record is from RNAcentral.
UACGGGGGGGGCAAGCGUUGUUCGGAAUUACUGGGCGUAAAGGGCGCGUAGGCGGCCCGCUAAGUCGAACGUGAAAUCCCCAGGCUUAACCUGGGAACUGCGUCCGAUACUGGUGGGCUUGAAUCCGGGAGAGGGAUGUGGAAUUCCAGGUGUAGCGGUGAAAUGCGUAGAUAUCGGAAGGAACACCAGUGGCGAAAGCGGCUUCCUGGUCCAGCACCGACGUUCAGGCACGAAAGCGUGGGGAGCAAACAGG